RNAcentral lists this non-coding RNA (115 nucleotides) under Hymenobacter sp. RNAcentral describes it as "SAM-I sequence". It matches the Rfam family "SAM riboswitch aptamer (S box leader)". From Rfam's summary of the family: The SAM riboswitch is found upstream of a number of genes which code for proteins involved in methionine or cysteine biosynthesis in Gram-positive bacteria. The record is from RNAcentral. RNAcentral also lists the same sequence under 1 other name. Lineage: Bacteria; Pseudomonadati; Bacteroidota; Cytophagia; Cytophagales; Hymenobacteraceae.
AGCUUAUCCAGAAAGACCGAGGGACUGGGCCCUGUGACGUCUUAGCAACCAGCCACUGCGGCAGAGGUGCUAACUCCCAUCCGAGGCGCAGCCGCGCGUUCGGAAAAGAUGAGCG